CCUACGGGUGGCAGCAGUGAGGAAUAUUGGUCAAUGGACGAGAGUCUGAACCAGCCAAGUAGCGUGAAGGAUGACUGCCCUCUGGGUUGUAAACUUCUUUUAUAUGGGAGUAAAAUGUUCCACGUGUGGGAUUUUGUAUGUACCAUAUCAAUAAGGAUCGGCUAACUCCGUGCCAGCAGCCGCGGUAAUACGGAGGGUCCGAGCGUUAACCGGAUUUAUUGGGUUUAAAGGGAGCGUAGGGGGAUUGUUAAGUCAGGUGUGAAAGUUUGGGGCUCAACCGUAAAAUUGCAGUUGAAACUGGCAGUCUUGAGUGCGGUAGAGGUGAGCGGAAUUCGUGGUGUAGCGGUGAAAUGCUUAGAUAUCACGAAGAACUCCGAUUGCGAAGGCAGCUCACUGGACUACAACUGACGCUGAGGCUCGAAAGUGUGGGUAUCAAACAGGAUUAGAUACCCUAGUAGUC
RNAcentral lists this ribosomal RNA (460 nucleotides) under uncultured bacterium. Its description in RNAcentral is "partial 16S ribosomal RNA". It matches the Rfam family "Bacterial small subunit ribosomal RNA", at positions 338 to 795 of the family's 1533-position model. The record is from RNAcentral.